GUGUGGCUUCUCGCACUCAACCUGAAGCUCUGUGUCACGUUGUGGCUGCUCGUAGCGUUAAACAAAGGUCCAAGCUUCCUGUCAAUGUCUGCUGUGCUGGCAUAACACUGAUAAUUGCUCCUUGUCCUGAACCGAGGCCUUGGCUAUUACUCUCAUCCUACGCAGCCUCACUCGGGAGGCUUCUGGACAGCAGAGAGGAUAAGGACACCAUCAAGUCCUCCAACAAGCCUCGCAGACGGCACAAACCUGGAAAUGUGUGCCUGAUGUUCGCUAUUGUUUUUGAACAAGUCUUGAAAUAUCAGCAAAGCCAGGUGUGCUGUGCACCUCCUUACCCCGGGUAUCACUCUCAUGCUACACGGCCGAAAAAGACUUCUGGGCAUCAGAGAGGACAAGCUCCCCAUCAUGUCCGCCAACAUAUCACAUGGGUCAUGGAGUGUUGGGCUGCUCUGCCGGUGCGAGGCAUGUCUAACCUUUAGCUGCUUCUGAGCAGAUCUCAUGAGGAAGGAUAUUUGCCGUCUGAGCUCUUGAGAGCCCUUGCUUUCGGAAAGCACACACAUCUGAAGGUGCUUCAGAGGUGCUUUUGCUUUUUCAUGGCUAUAGAUGUAUUCUAUAUACUGUAUGUAUUGUGCACUGGUGAUGAGCUCUUUGAGGCGCACUUUGUGAGGCAGGUCCAUCAGUCCUACAUAAAGCUUUCAGAAUGAUUAUGCUUGAGAAAUGUACCCUCUGUUGUAUCUUCAGGUUCCCUUUGUAGGUUUUCUCUUUCCCCGAGUAGAGCCUGCUGAAUGACUGCAUGGUCACAGCCUGGCCGUGCGUUCACACCUGGUUAAGUUGAAUUUUUGAUCGAAACAGCCGUUGCGUUGUUGCAAUCUUCCAAAGGUUCGGAUCAGUUUCACGUAAGUAAACAUCGGACACAAACGAUUUGAUUCUUCGAUGGGGAGAAAUGAUGAAACGGACGUGAAUCCCUUCAGGAAGUGUUUACAUUCAACAGGCGCACAUAAUACAUUGUUUGCUGCUUCUCACAUUAUCAUUGAUUGCACCUCUUUGGAGUUGUUGUCAAAGAACAAUGGAAGAGAGGAUACGUUGCACUGAAGCAAACAGGCAGGUGAGUUUGUUGAACACCCUCAGGAUUUACAUUUAAAAGAGAUUAGUGAAACUAAUGGGAAAUAUUGUCAUGUUUGUGUCAAUGUUAAUUUGCUACCAUCUUUCAUUUCAUUGUUUCAUGUGAAAAAAUGUAACCUCAUAACUAUUCAUUAUCCUGACAGGAGGCAGAGCAGGUUGUUGACAUGUCUUGGACAUUUCACAGUAACUGCCAGGUGGAGAGCAGAGUGUUCUAUCGACAUGGCUCAAGACAUAGCCAUGGCAUGUGUGGCUUU
RNAcentral lists this long non-coding RNA (1373 nucleotides) under Cottoperca gobio. RNAcentral's name for it is "lncRNA (ENSCGOG00000023116.1)". The record is from RNAcentral. Lineage: Eukaryota; Metazoa; Chordata; Actinopteri; Perciformes; Bovichtidae.